Molecule: ribosomal RNA, 801 nt
Filed under: uncultured soil archaeon
Lineage: Archaea
Description: bacterial SSU rRNA
Rfam family: Archaeal small subunit ribosomal RNA
Source: RNAcentral
CACGGUAAAAGCUCAGUAACACGUGGCUAACCUGCCCUUGGGACGAGAACAACCCCGGGAAACUGGGGCUAAGUCGCGAUAGGCGAAGAACUCUGGAAUGAGUCUUCACCUAAAAGACAUUGCGUUAUGCUCGUAGUGUCGCCCAAGGAUGGGGCCGCGACCGAUCAGGUUGUUGGUGAGGUAAUGGCUCACCAAGCCUUUUACCGGUGCGGGCCGUGGGAGCGGGAGCCCGGAGAUGGGCACUGAGACAAGGGCCCAGGCCCUACGGGGCGCAGCAGUCGCGAAAACUUUGCAAUAAGCGAAAGCUUGACAGGGCUAUCCCGAGUGCCAUCCGCUGAGGAAGGCUUUUACCCAGUCUACAACGCUGGGGGAAUAAGGAGAGGGCAAGUCUGGUGUCAGCCGCCGCGGUAAUACCAGCUCUCCGAGUGGUGUGGAUGUUUAUUGGGCCUAAAGCAUCCGUAGCUGGCUAGGUAAGUCCCCUGUUAAAUCCACCGAAUUAAUCGUUGGAUUGCGGGGGAUACUGCUUGGCUAGGGGACGAGAGAGGCAGACGGUAUUUCCGGGGUAGGGGUGAAAUCCUAUAAUCCCGGGAAGACCACCAGUGGCGAAGGCUGUCUGCUAGAACGCGCCCGACGGUGAGGGAUGAAAGCUGGGGGAGCGAACCGGAUUAGAUACCCGGGUAGUCCCAGCUGUAAACGAUGCAGACUAGGUGUUUGGACGGCCACGUGCCGUUCUAGUGCCGCAGGGAAGCUGUUAAGUCUGCCGCCUGGGGAGUACGAUCGCAAGAUUGAACUUAAAGGCCA